GUGGGGAAUCUUGCGCAAUGGGCGAAAGCCUGACGCAGCCAUGCCGCGUGAAUGAUGAAGGUCUUAGGAUUGUAAAAUUCUUUCACCGGGGACGAUAAUGACGGUACCCGGAGAAGAAGCUCCGGCUAACUUCGUGCCAGCAGCCGCGGUAAUACGAAGGGGGCUAGCGUUGCUCGGAUUUACUGGGCGUAAAGGGCGCGUAGGCGGACAUUUAAGUCAGGGGUGAAAUCCCGGGGCUCAACCUCGGAACUGCCUUUGAUACUGGGUGUCUUGAGUAUGAGAGAGGUGUGUGGAACUCCGAGUGUAGAGGUGAAAUGCGUAGAUAUUCGGAAGAACACCAGUGGCGAAGGCGACACACUGGCUCAUUACUGACGCUGAGGCGCGAAAGCGUGGGGAGCAAACAGGAUUAGAAACCCCUGUAGUCC
This 425-nucleotide ribosomal RNA is filed under the name uncultured bacterium. Its description in RNAcentral is "partial 16S ribosomal RNA". It matches the Rfam family "Bacterial small subunit ribosomal RNA", at positions 354 to 796 of the family's 1533-position model. The record is from RNAcentral.